RNAcentral lists this ribosomal RNA (494 nucleotides) under uncultured Alphaproteobacteria bacterium. RNAcentral's name for it is "bacterial SSU rRNA". It matches the Rfam family "Bacterial small subunit ribosomal RNA", at positions 103 to 632 of the family's 1533-position model. Lineage: Bacteria; Pseudomonadati; Pseudomonadota; Alphaproteobacteria. The record is from RNAcentral.
CGGGUGAGUAUAAUGUGGGAAUCUGCCUUUUGGUUUGGAAUAACACGGGGAAACUUGUGCUAAUACCGAAUAAGCCCUUACGGGGAAAGUUUUAACGCCGAAAGAUGAGCCUGCACUUGAUUAGCUAGUUGGUAAGGUAAAAGCUUACCAAGGCAACGAUCAAUAGCUGUUCUUAGAGGAAGACCAGCCACAUUGGGACUGAGACACGGCCCAGACUCCUACGGGAGGCAGCAGUGGGGAAUCUUGCACAAUGGGGGAAACCCUGAUGCAGCGAUGCCGCGUGAGUGAAGAAGGCCUUUGGGUUGUAAAACUCUUUCGUCGGGGAAGAAAAUGACUGUACCCGAAUAAGAAGGUCCGGCUAACUUCGUGCCAGCAGCCGCGGUAAUACGAAGGGACCUAGCGUAGUUCGGAAUUACUGGGCUUAAAGAGCUCGUAGGUGGUUAAAAAAGUUGAUGGUGAAAUCCCAAGGCUUAACCUUGGAACUGCCAUCAAAA